GUCCGAGUUGUAAUCUAGAGAAGCGUUUUCCGCGUUGGCCCAUGUACAAGUCUGCUGGAAUGCAGCGUCAUAGAGGGUGAGAAUCCCGUCCUUGACAUGGACUACCAAUGCUUUGUGAUACGUUUUCAACGAGUCGAGUUGUUUGGGAAUGCAGCUCAAAAUGGGUGGUAAAUUCCAUCUAAAGCUAAAUAUUGGCGAGAGACCGAUAGCGAACAAGUACCGUGAGGGAAAGAUGAAAAGCACUUUGGAAAGAGAGUUAAACAGUAUGUGAAAUUGUUGAAAGGGAAACGAUUGAAGUCAGUCGUGGGCUUUGCAUUCAGCUGGUUCUGCCAGUGUACUUGCUUUGCUCGGGGUCAACAUCGGUUUUGGUCGUCGGAAAGGCUUGGAGGAAUGUGCCACCCCCGGGUGAACUUAUAGCCUCUUUGCUUAUACGAUGGCUGGGACCGAGGAACGCAGCUUGCCUUUAUGGCCGGGGUUCGCCCACGUACAAGCUUAGGAUGUUGACAUAAUGGCU
This 514-nucleotide ribosomal RNA is filed under the name Filobasidium sp. AGG577. RNAcentral describes it as "eukaryotic LSU rRNA". It matches the Rfam family "Eukaryotic large subunit ribosomal RNA", at positions 136 to 639 of the family's 3401-position model. The record is from RNAcentral. Lineage: Eukaryota; Fungi; Basidiomycota; Tremellomycetes; Filobasidiales; Filobasidiaceae.